This is a long non-coding RNA of Myotis brandtii (Brandt's bat), 263 nucleotides long. RefSeq lists it as uncharacterized. The transcript is spliced from 2 exons. Lineage: Eukaryota; Metazoa; Chordata; Mammalia; Chiroptera; Vespertilionidae. The record is from RefSeq and is a predicted model, not a curated record.
AUGGAACCUUUAUACACUCAGUUACUCAGUUAUUUGUUCAAUAAAAGCAAUGCUGCUUAUGUACUGUCUAUGUUAGACAAGUUUCAGAAACCAAGCACAAUCAUCGCCUUAAUCAGGCUGUUAGCCUAAGGUCUAUCACAGAGGCUAGUAAAGCCUUCCUUGACCAAAUUAUCACUAGCAUUUUGGCCCUUAAAUCAUGUUGGCCUUAACAUUCUAGAUUUUCUUCAUGGCUGUACUGUUGAUGCUGGGGAUAAGCUGAGAGA